UACGAAGGGGGCGAGCGUUGUUCGGAAUUACUGGGCGUAAAGGGCGCGUAGGCGGCUUUGUUUGUCAGGUGUGAAAGCCCCGGGCUUAACCUGGGAACUGCGUUUGAUACGGCAGGGCUAGAGUUUGGGAGAGGAGAGUGGAAUUCCCAGUGUAGAGGUGAAAUUCGUAGAUAUUGGGAAGAACACCGGUGGCGAAGGCGGCUCUCUGGACCAAUACUGACGCUGAGGCGCGAAAGCGUGGGGAGCAAACAGG
Molecule: ribosomal RNA, 253 nt
Filed under: uncultured bacterium
Lineage: Bacteria
Description: partial 16S ribosomal RNA
Rfam family: Bacterial small subunit ribosomal RNA
Source: RNAcentral